AUUGAACGCUGGCGGCAUGCUUUACACAUGCAAGUCGGACGGCAGCACAGAGAAGCUUGCUUCUUGGGUGGCGAGUGGCGAACGGGUGAGUAAUAUAUCGGAACGUACCGAGUAAUGGGGGAUAACUAAUCGAAAGAUUAGCUAAUACCGCAUAUUCUCUGAGGAGGAAAGCAGGGGACCUUCGGGCCUUGCGUUAUUCGAGCGGCCGAUAUCUGAUUAGCUAGUUGGUGGGGUAAAGGCCUACCAAGGCGACGAUCAGUAGCGGGUCUGAGAGGAUGAUCCGCCACACUGGGACUGAGACACGGCCCAGACUCCUACGGGAGGCAGCAGUGGGGAAUUUUGGACAAUGGGCGCAAGCCUGAUCCAGCCAUGCCGCGUGUCUGAAGAAGGCCUUCGGGUUGUAAAGGACUUUUGUCAGGGAAGAAAAGGCUGUUGCUAAUACCGACAGCUGAUGACGGUACCUGAAGAAUAAGCACCGGCUAACUACGUGCCAGCAGCCGCGGUAAUACGUAGGGUGCGAGCGUUAAUCGGAAUUACUGGGCGUAAAGCGAGCGCAGACGGUUACUUAAGCAGGAUGUGAAAUCCCCGGGCUCAACCUGGGAACUGCGUUCUGAACUGGGUGACUAGAGUGUGUCAGGGGGAGGUAGAAUUCCACGUGUAGCAUUGAAAUGCGUAGAGAUGUGGGAGGAAUACCGAUGGCUGAAUGCAGCCUCCUGGUAUAACACUGACGUUCUGCUCGAAAGCGGGGGGAGCAAACAG
This 759-nucleotide ribosomal RNA is filed under the name Neisseria subflava. RNAcentral describes it as "bacterial SSU rRNA". It matches the Rfam family "Bacterial small subunit ribosomal RNA", at positions 28 to 775 of the family's 1533-position model. Lineage: Bacteria; Pseudomonadati; Pseudomonadota; Betaproteobacteria; Neisseriales; Neisseriaceae. The record is from RNAcentral.